Molecule: ribosomal RNA, 442 nt
Filed under: uncultured bacterium
Lineage: Bacteria
Description: partial 16S ribosomal RNA
Rfam family: Bacterial small subunit ribosomal RNA
Source: RNAcentral
CCUACGGGUGGCAGCAGUGGGGAAUAUUGGGCAAUGGACGCAAGUCUGACCCAGCAACGCCGCGUGAAGGAAGAAGGCUUUCGGGUUGUAAACUUCUUUUAAGGGGGAAGAGCAGAAGACGGUACCCCUUGAAUAAUCCACGGCUAACUACGUGCCAGCAACCGCGGUAAUACGUAAGUGGCAAGCGUUGUCCGGAUUUACUGGGGGUAAAGGGCGUGUUGCCGGGCCGAAAAGUCAGCUGUGAAAUAUGCGGGCUUAAACCGCGAACUGGAUUUGUAACUAUUGGUGUUGAGGAGCGGAGAGGGCAGGGGAAUUCCUGGUGUAGGGGGGAAAUGCGUAGAUAUAAGGAAGGAAAACAGGGGCGAAGGGGGAUGACUGGACGGCAAAUGACGGUGAGGCGCGAAAGCGUGGGGAGCAAACAGGAAUAGAUAACCUAGUAGUC